UUGCUUUGGCAGCACAUAUACCAAAACUGGAACAAUACAGAGAAGAUUAGCAUGGCCCCUACGCAAGGAUAACAUGGAAAUUCAUGAAGCAUUCAUUCUUUUU
Small nuclear RNA from Rhincodon typus (whale shark), 103 nucleotides. The record is from RefSeq and is a predicted model, not a curated record. NCBI's taxonomy places the organism in Eukaryota, Metazoa, Chordata, Chondrichthyes, Orectolobiformes, Rhincodontidae.